This 483-nucleotide ribosomal RNA is filed under the name uncultured bacterium. RNAcentral describes it as "partial 16S ribosomal RNA". It matches the Rfam family "Bacterial small subunit ribosomal RNA", at positions 30 to 506 of the family's 1533-position model. The record is from RNAcentral.
AUUGAACGCUGGCGGCAGGCCUAACACAUGCAAGUCGAGCGGAUGAAGGGAGCUUGCUCCUGGAUUCAGCGGCGGACGGGUGAGUAAUGCCUAGGAAUCUGCCUGGUAGUGGGGGAUAACGUCCGGAAACGGGCGCUAAUACCGCAUACGUCCUGAGGGAGAAAGUGGGGGAUCUUCGGACCUCACGCUAUCAGAUGAGCCUAGGUCGAAUUAGCUAGUUGGUGGGGUAAAGGCCUACCAAGGCGACGAUCCGUAACUGGUCUGAGAGGAUGAUCAGUCACACUGGAACUGAGACACGGUCCAGACUCCUACGGGAGGCAGCAGUGGGGAAUAUUGGACAAUGGGCGAAAGCCUGAUCCAGCCAUGCCGCGUGUGUGAAGAAGGUCUUCGGAUUGUAAAGCACUUUAAGUUGGGAGGAAGGGCAGUAAGUUAAUACCUUGCUGUUUUGACGUGACCAACAGAAUAAGCACCGGCUAACUUCGU